CCCCGUUCGGGGGACGAGGGUGACGAGGUGGUGCAGUGGUUGUCGUCAGCUCGUGUCGUGAGAUGUUGGGUUAACGUCCCGCAACGAGCGCAACCCUCCGUACCUUAGUUGCCAGCAUUCAGUUGGGCACUCUAGAGGGACUGCCGGUGUCAAACCGGAGGAAGGUGGGGAUGACGUCAAGUCCUCAUGGCCUUUAUGUCUAGGGCUACACACGUACUACAAUGGCCGGUACAAAGGGCAGCCACUCAGCGAUGAGGCGCUAAUCCCAUAAAGCCGGUCUCAGUCCGGAUCGCAGUCUGCAACUCGACUGCGUGAAGUUGGAAUCGCUAGUAAUCGCGGAUCAGCAUGCCGCGGUGAAUACGUUCCCGGGCCUU
RNAcentral lists this ribosomal RNA (374 nucleotides) under uncultured Desulfovibrio sp. Its description in RNAcentral is "bacterial SSU rRNA". It matches the Rfam family "Bacterial small subunit ribosomal RNA", at positions 1014 to 1382 of the family's 1533-position model. The record is from RNAcentral. Lineage: Bacteria; Pseudomonadati; Thermodesulfobacteriota; Desulfovibrionia; Desulfovibrionales; Desulfovibrionaceae.